CAAUAGCGUAUAUUAAAGUUGUUGCAGUUAAAAAGCUCGUAGUUGGAUUUCUGGUAUGCUGCGCCUGGCCCGCCUCGUUUAGAGUGUGAGUGCCGGUGCGCGGUUACCAUCCUUCUAGAAAACGCGUCUGCCCUUCAUUGGGUUGGGCGCGCAAUCUAGAUCUUUUACUUUGAAAAAUUAGAGUGUUCAAAGCAGGCGUUUGCUUGAAUAUAUUAGCAUGGAAUAAUGGAAUAGGACGCUGGUUCUAUUUUGUUGGUUUUGAGAACCAGAGUAAUGAUUAAUAGGGACAGUUGGGGGCAUUCAUAUUUCAUUGUCAGAGGUGAAAUUCUUGGAUUUAUGAAAGAUGAACUUCUGCGAAAGCAUUUGCCAAGGAUGUUUUCAUUAAUCAAGAACGAAAGUUAGGGGAUCGAAGAUGAUCAGAUACCGU
Molecule: ribosomal RNA, 427 nt
Filed under: uncultured eukaryote
Lineage: Eukaryota
Description: bacterial SSU rRNA
Rfam family: Eukaryotic small subunit ribosomal RNA
Source: RNAcentral